Podarcis lilfordi (Lilford's wall lizard) is the source of this 2158-nucleotide non-coding RNA. The record is from the annotation of a GenBank genome assembly. NCBI's taxonomy places the organism in Eukaryota, Metazoa, Chordata, Lepidosauria, Squamata, Lacertidae.
AAGGUUUCCAUGUAGCUUUAUUUAGACAUUGACAAUACCUGGUUAACAUUGGUUGGGUUUGGUUAUUUGAUUUUGAUUUUUCUGUGUGUGUCCUCAGCAUUGCUAAAUUGUGUGCAGGUCUUUUUCCUAUGACUUCAGACGCAGACAGGAAGCUAGCAGUAUAUUUUAUUCUUUCUCUUCACUGCCAGAAACAUCCAAGGAGGGGAGAUUUUCGAACGUGCAUACACACGAACAUUUGUCUGAAACCAACACCAUCCUGGCAUCUCAGUAAAAAGCAAAACAACUGUCUGAAAUAAAUGACGGUACGUUAAGAUUUGCAGUACCUGUUUUGCAAUAGAUCACUAGCUGUUAAAUGGUUUACUUUUCCAAUAGAUAGGUAUAUUAAACCAGCUUAGAUGCUUGUAUUAGACCCCAAGAAUUAAAAUUUAAGUAUCGUUGGAGAUGUUUGAACAGAGGUUGGAUGGCUAGCUGUUGGAGAUUCUUUACCUGUGACUCCUGCAUUGCAGGGGGUUGGACUAGAUGACCCUUGGGUCCCUUUCCAACCCUACAACUAUAUGAUUCUGUGAAAGCCUUGGCCAACCUGGUGAGCUCCAGAUGUUGCUGAACUACAACUACAACUGAUAGCCUUAACAAAACACCUGGAGGUUAUAAUCUUGGCAAAGCCUGUAUUAAACAGUAGUGCAAAUUUUACUUUUCUUCUAUACGUGUUCCUUGCUCCCCAGAGCAAGACUUCUGCAAUAAAAAUGAGGGUGGAGGGAAGAGUCCACCCUGGGAGGCAUUUUAUGCUCUUCCUUUUAACACUGAAGAGGGAAGUAGAAAAACGGGGGGGGGGGAGAGAGAGAGACUCCGCUACAUUUGCAGAGAAGGGGAACCAGGCCUCUUGCCCCAUGGAAUGACAACUCGGAUAAAAGAGGCAAGUAUCAAUGCUAUCUCCAUGGGAGCUAGCAAAAUAAUAUAAAAAAUUAAAACACAGACCAGCUGCUAUAAAAAUAGUAAGGAGAGAGGGGAGAAGAAAUUGGUUUUUUAUAUCUCAUGGAAGUUGUUUUUUAUAUCUCAUGGAAGAUGUUGGCAGCACCUAAGGGAGGGAGGGGAGAACAAGGACCUACAUCAGCCUUCCCCAACUUGGGGGCUUCCAGAUGUUUGGAGUGCAAUUCCCAUUAGUUCAUGCUAGCUGUGGCUGAUGGGAACUAUAGCUCAAAACAUCUGGAAGGCACUAGGCAAGGGGGAGGCUGAAGAGUAUAGAGGAUAGCUGGCUUGUUCCUUUUUAUCAAGGAUGGAGAACCUGUGACGUUCCAGAUGUUCAUUGACUACAACUCGCAUCAUCCCUGAUUACUGGUCAUUCUGGCGGGGAGGGGAAGUGAUGGGAGCUCAGUAAAGUUGUGGGGGGGGGGGAGCACAGGUUCCCCACUCCUGCUUUUUAGUGUUUUAAUGCCCACUGCCCAUGCUUUGUGAUCAAAAAGGGAUGCUUUGAAUUGACAUGUUUUGAAUUCCAGUGUUUUGAGUGAAAAGGAACAUCCGAAUGUAUGCCUUCCCUACGUAGUCAAAAACAGCAGUACUGUGGUUUUGCCAACUGAAAAUAAUUUUGCAGAUUGUCUCCUUAGCUUUUGGGCAUGAGAUUCCAAUAAUACAUUCUCAUAUAUAUAUCUCCCCACUUAAGCCAUACUUGCCACUCUUGAAACACAACCCCACCCGGAGGCAGAUGUAACGCCGGAUUCAAGCAGGAAGAGAUUCAGAUGUGGGAACAUCCUACUAUCAGGCCACCACAUGGCGGCAGUAGGGGGAUUUUUAAUUGAAGGUUUUAAAAGGAAAGUAAAAUUCCGCAUGUAGUGAUCAAGAGGUAAAAUGACCGAAGACAGAAACGACCAACAACGUCAGCAUGAAACAGAGAAAUUAAGAAGUCAUUUCCUAUUAGCUCCUCUGAAAUCAUCCAGACUGAUGAGUCAACAGUUAAUAAAUCAGUGUGUGCAAUAAAAAGCUAGUGUCACAAUGUGUGGCCAAAGGCCAAACACAGUUCCUAUCCUUGAUUGUACAACGGUAAAACACCCGGUUCCUGGACAGCCCUCACAGAGAUACCAUAGCAGCAGGCGGUUUGGACAGGAUCAAUAGGUCCCACUCAUUCACUCCCCCACCCCACCCCACCCCACCAGCUUGGAUGCCA